GAUGAACGCUGGCGGCGUGCCUAAUACAUGCAAGUCGUGCGAACAGACGAGGAGCUUGCUCCUCUGACGUUAGCGGCGGACGGGUGAGUAACACGUGGAUAACCUACCUAUAAGACUGGGAUAACUUCGGGAAACCGGAGCUAAUACCGGAUAAUAUAUUGAACCGCAUGGUUCAAUAGUGAAAGACGGUUUUGCUGUCACUUAUAGAUGGAUCCGCGCCGCAUUAGCUAGUUGGUAAGGUAACGGCCUACCAAGGCAACGAUGCGUAGCCGACCUGAGAGGGUGAUCGGCCACACUGGAACUGAGACACGGUCCAGACUCCUACGGGAGGCAGCAGUAGGGAAUCUUCCGCAAUGGGCGAAAGCUUGACGGAGCAACGCCGCGUGAGUGAUGAAGGUCUUCGGAUCGUAAAACUCUGUUAUUAGGGAAGAACAAAUGUGUAAGUAACUAUGCACGUCUUGACGGUACCUAAUCAGAAAGCCACGGCUAACUACGUG
RNAcentral lists this ribosomal RNA (497 nucleotides) under uncultured bacterium. RNAcentral's name for it is "partial 16S ribosomal RNA". It matches the Rfam family "Bacterial small subunit ribosomal RNA", at positions 28 to 507 of the family's 1533-position model. The record is from RNAcentral.